UGGGGAAUAUUAGGCAAUGGGGGAAACCCUGACCUAGCCAUGCCGCGUGCGUGAAGAAGGUCUUAGGAUUGUAAAGCGCUUUCAGCGGGGGAAGAUGAUGACGGUACCCGCAGAAGAAGCCCCGGCUAACUCCGUGCCAGCAGCCGCGGUAAUACGGAGGGGGUUAGCGUUGUUCGGAAUUACUGGGCGUAAAGCGCACGUAGGCGGACCAGAAAGUUGGGGGUGAAAUCCCGGGGGCUCAACCCCGGAACUGCCUCCAAAACUAUUGGUCUAGAGUUCGAGAGAGGUGAGUGGAAUUCCAAGUGUAGAGGUGAAAUUCGUAGAUAUUUGGAGGAACACCAGUGGCGAAGGCGGCUCACUGGCUCGAUACUGACGCUGAGGUGCGAAAGUGUGGGGAGCAAACAGGAUUAGAUACCCUGGUAGUCCACACCGUAAAACGAUGAAUGCCAGUCGUCGGGUAGCAUGCUAUUCGGUGACACACCUAA
RNAcentral lists this ribosomal RNA (485 nucleotides) under uncultured bacterium. RNAcentral's name for it is "bacterial SSU rRNA". It matches the Rfam family "Bacterial small subunit ribosomal RNA", at positions 355 to 855 of the family's 1533-position model. The record is from RNAcentral.